UACGUAGGGUGCGAGCGUUAAUCGGAAUUACUGGGCGUAAAGCGUGCGCAGGCGGUUCGUUAAGUCAGAUGUGAAAGCCCCGGGCUCAACCUAGGAACUGCAUUUGAAACUGGCGGGCUUGAGUGUGGCAGAGGGGGGUGGAAUUCCGCGUGUAGCAGUGAAAUGCGCAGAUAUCAGGAAGAACACCCGUGGCGAAGGCGGCUCUCUGGGACGGUACUGACGCUGAGACGCGAAAGCGUGGGGAGCGAACAGG
RNAcentral lists this ribosomal RNA (253 nucleotides) under uncultured bacterium. Its description in RNAcentral is "partial 16S ribosomal RNA". It matches the Rfam family "Bacterial small subunit ribosomal RNA", at positions 524 to 776 of the family's 1533-position model. The record is from RNAcentral.